Molecule: ribosomal RNA, 423 nt
Filed under: Dendropsophus cf. mathiassoni ABGD cluster 82
Lineage: Eukaryota; Metazoa; Chordata; Amphibia; Anura; Hylidae
Description: partial large subunit ribosomal RNA
Rfam family: Bacterial large subunit ribosomal RNA
Source: RNAcentral
CUUGACACACAUAAGAGGUCCAGCCUGCCCAGUGACUAAGUUCAACGGCCGCGGUAUCCUAACCGUGCGAAGGUAGCGUAAUCACUUGUUCUUUAAAUGAGGACUAGUAUGAAUGGCACCACGAGGGUUAUACUGUCUCCUUUUUUUAAUCAAUGAAACUGAUCUCCCCGUGAAGAAGCGGGGAUAAAUCUAUAAGACGAGAAGACCCUAUGGAGCUUUAAACAAUUAUAGCACUGGCCCACACCUCUUAUUCUUCUGAGAUAUAAUUAUUAUACAGGCCAACAUGACUAUUAGUUUUAGGUUGGGGUGACCGCGGAGCAAAAAUUAACCUCCACGUUGAACGGAGCUACUCCUGAGCUAAAAGCUACAACUUUAAGCACCAAUAAACUGACAUCAAUUGACCCAAUAUAUUGAACAACGAAC